RNAcentral lists this long non-coding RNA (155 nucleotides) under Monodelphis domestica (gray short-tailed opossum). Its description in RNAcentral is "lncRNA (ENSMODG00000036492.1)". Lineage: Eukaryota; Metazoa; Chordata; Mammalia; Didelphimorphia; Didelphidae. The record is from RNAcentral.
CAGUGAAGACUCAGAUGAUGGUUAUCAUUUUGGGGCAAUAAAGUAUUUUCAAAUUAAGAUGCAUGAAUAUCUCUGUAUGAAGUCACUUUCUAGGGAAUGACAAUAUCACCAUUCAUAGAUAUGCACCAUCAAACUCAGCUACUUUGAUUCCAGAU